Molecule: ribosomal RNA, 457 nt
Filed under: uncultured archaeon
Lineage: Archaea
Description: bacterial SSU rRNA
Rfam family: Archaeal small subunit ribosomal RNA
Source: RNAcentral
UGCCCUGUGCUGGGGGAUAACCUCGGGAAACUGAUAACAAUACCCCAUAGUCCACUACGCCUGGAACGGUGAGUGGAUGAAAGCCCCGGCGGCACAGGAUGGGCCUGCGGCGUAUCAGGUAGUAGGGGGUGUAAAGUACCCUCUAGCCUUCGACGCGUACGAGUUGUGAGAGCAAUAGCCCGGAGAUGGAUUCUGAGACACGAAUCCAGGUCCUACGGGACGCAGCAGUCGCGAAACCUUGACAAUGCGGGAAACCGUGAUCAGGGGACUCCAAGUGCCAGGAGUAAGAUCCUGUGCUUUUCUUCUCUCUUCAAAGGAUUAUGAAUAAGAGGUGGGUAAGGACGGUGCCAGCCGCCGCGGUAAUACCGGCGCCUCGAGUGGUAGUCGAUUUUAUUGGGCCUAAAACGUCCGUCGCCGGUCUGGUGCAUUCGUGGGUAAAUCAACCCGCUCAACGGGU